AUGUGAUCGUCUCUCGCAUAUCAAUAAGCGGAGGAAAAGAAACUAACAAGGAUUCCCCUAGUAACGGCGAGUGAAGCGGGAAGAGCUCAAAUUUGAAAUCUUAAAGGGUUUCCCUUUACGAAUUGUAGCUUAAAGAAGUGUUUUCUGUUGAGGUUUUGGUAAAAGUUCUUUGGAAUAGGACAUCAUAGAGGGUGAGAAUCCCGUAUUUGACCUUUACUUUCAACUUUGUGAUACACUUUCAAAGAGUCGGAUUGUUUGGGAAUGCAGUCCAAAAUGGGUGGUAAAUUUCAUCUAAAGCUAAAUAUUGGCGAGAGACCGAUAGCGAACAAGUACCGUGAGGGAAAGAUGAAAAGAACUUUGAAAAGAGAGUUAAACAGUACGUGAAAUUGUCAAAAGGGAAGCGUUUGACACCAGUGUUGUUUUUCUGAAAAUCAAUUAAAGAACUGUUUAUGCUAAGUUGUUUAGACUUUAUCAGCUAUCUGCUUAGUUUUGAGCUUUUCUUUAAUGCACUUUUCAGUUAACAAGUCAACAUCAAUUUCUUUUGCUGUAAAAAAGCUUGAGGAAGGUGGCUUGAGAUUCGUCUUAAGUGUUUAUAGCCUCUUGCCUAUGCAGUCGGAGAGAUUGAGGUCUGCAGCGUAGAUCCUUCGGGGCUAAAUGCAUUUGUGCUAAGUUAUAGCAUUUUAUAGACAACUUGUUGACUAUGAUUUGUCUUGUAGCUUACUCGCUUAUGUUAUUUUACCUACGCUUAGGAUGUUGAACGCGCACAGAGUCUC
Molecule: ribosomal RNA, 773 nt
Filed under: uncultured Neocallimastigales
Lineage: Eukaryota; Fungi; Neocallimastigomycota; Neocallimastigomycetes; Neocallimastigales
Description: partial large subunit ribosomal RNA
Rfam family: Eukaryotic large subunit ribosomal RNA
Source: RNAcentral